Molecule: ribosomal RNA, 497 nt
Filed under: uncultured bacterium
Lineage: Bacteria
Description: partial 16S ribosomal RNA
Rfam family: Bacterial small subunit ribosomal RNA
Source: RNAcentral
GAUGAACGCUGGCGGCGUGCCUAAUACAUGCAAGUCGAGCGAACAGACGAGGAGCUUGCUCCUCUGACGUUAGCGGCGGACGGGUGAGUAACACGUGGAUAACCUACCUAUAAGACUGGGAUAACUUCGGGAAACCGGAGCUAAUACCGGAUAAUAUAUUGAACCGCAUGGUUCAAUAGUGAAAGACGGUUUUGCUGUCACUUAUAGAUGGAUCCGCGCCGCAUUAGCUAGUUGGUAAGGUAACGGCUUACCAAGGCAACGAUGCGUAGCCGACCUGAGAGGGUGGCGGGCCACACUGGAACUGAGACACGGCCCAGACUCCUACGGGAGGAACCAGUAGGGAAUCUUCCGCAAUGGGCGAAAGCCUGACGGAGCAACGCCGCGGGAGUGAUGAAGGUCUUGGGAUCGUAAAACUCUGUUAUUAGGGAAGAACAAAUGUGUAAGUAACUAUGCACGUCUGGACGGUACCUAAUAAGAAAGCCACGGCUAACUACGGG